CUUAGACACUGAGGGAAACAACCUCUUGGGUGACAUGUGCAUGACUAAGCAGAGAAGGAGGGAGAAACCUUGAAGUAGAAAUGGCCUGUUGCUGAGGGGGGUCUUGGAAGGAAGCUGGAGAGAAAGAGUCUAAAAUUAAAGAUGGAACCUGAUAGCAGAGAGCAACUCUUCCAGGAAUGGCUCAGCCCAGUCCACUCAAAUCCACCUUGUAGCAAAAUCUGUCCAAGGUGUGAAGCAGGAGGAAGAAAUAUACCCCUGGGCUGGGACAGUGACAUCACAGGCCAACCACCAACCAAGACCAAGCAGACCAGAGCCCAGCCCCUGCCCAGGACACCCUAGUUAGAUGAUCCUCACCUUGACCCUGCCUCUACCAUGGACUGCAGGCUGCUCUGCUGUGUGGCUCUCUGUCUCCUGGAAGCAGUCCCCGUGGACACUGCGAUUACCCAGACACCAAGACACCUGGUCACAGCGACAGGGAGUAACGGGACCCUCAAGUGCGAACAACGUCUAGGACAUAAUGCUAUGUACUGGUAUAAACAGAGCGCUCAGAACCCACCGACACUCUUGUUUGCCUACAACUAUGAGAAACUUGUUGAAAAUGACAGUGUCCCCAGUCGCUUUGCACCUGAAUGCCCAGACAGCUCGCACCUGCACCUUCAGGUGGCCGCCCUGCAGCCAGAUGACUCCGCCGUGUAUCUCUGUGCUAGCAGCCAGGACACAGCCCUGCACAGCCAACUGCUCCCUGUGCACAAACCUCCUGGUGCAGCCAGGGAGCUGUGGGGACGACCGCGACUCAGCUCAGCGUCUCUGGUGGGACCCCAGACGGAAAUCUCAGACCAUAACGCUGCCUGUCAGUUGGCUGGGUGCAGCGAUGCCCAGUUCCCUGCACAGACGUCCACAGCCUGUGGCCUGGCUCUGCCCUGGCCAGUCUGUGUCUGCAGCUGA
Molecule: non-coding RNA, 945 nt
Organism: Suricata suricatta (meerkat)
Lineage: Eukaryota; Metazoa; Chordata; Mammalia; Carnivora; Herpestidae
Source: the annotation of a RefSeq genome assembly